UCAGAAGGCAACAGGAAGUGGACUAACUGCCUCACCAGGCCUAGCUUGACCUAUGUGAACUCAAAGUCGGCCCCCACAGUGACGCACUUCCUCCAACAAGGCCGCACCUCCUAACAGUGCCACGCCCUCCGGGGGCCAUUUUCUUUCAGACCACCACGCCAGUUCUCCAGCGCUCUCUCUGGUGAAUCCAUCUCCUCCUCCCUUGUCAGUGUAUUCUCUACCCGUUCUGACUUCCAGACUCACUUCUGCGGCUGCUGCCCCUGCCUGGUCUCCAAUGGAUGUGACCUAGGCACUCAGAAAAACUCAGGCUUCAGGACAGUCACCUGUCUGCGUUUCAAUGUCUUCAUCCCACGGGAGUGUUGCUGGAGAUGAACUCCUCGACCAGAAAGUGCCGAGUCGGAGGUUUUGCUGCUUCUAAGAGUGCCGGCGCCCUAUGUGCAUCUGUAGAGGCUGGGUUCCAGGAGCCACUCUGAGACCCAAACCCUCAGGCGUUCAGUCCCACAUAUAAAGUAUAUGCUUGUCUAAAACCUC
This is a long non-coding RNA of Mesocricetus auratus (golden hamster), 531 nucleotides long. RefSeq lists it as uncharacterized. The transcript has 3 exons. The record is from RefSeq and is a predicted model, not a curated record. Lineage: Eukaryota; Metazoa; Chordata; Mammalia; Rodentia; Cricetidae.